UCAGCUGGGAGAGCGCCUGCUUUGCAAGCAGGAUGUCGUCGGUUCGAUCCCGUCCGGCUCCACCAAUGCGCGAUCCGCAGGAUCGUCGUGAAUGCGCGAUCCGCAGGAUCGUCGUGAAUGCGCGAUCCGCAGGAUCGUCGUGAAUGCGCGAUCCGCAGGAUCGUCGCUUCAGCCGCCGCGUUGCGUGUUGGCGAUAGCGCGAUCCGCAGGAUCGUCGCGGCGCGAUCGCAAGAUUGCUGCCUUGGUGUUGAGUAGAGGUGAGAAAAGUCAUUCGUAAAAAGAGUUUGCGCCGAGCUUCGUGCUUGGCGCCUGUUCUGUUUGACAUCGUAAAGAGAAGAUUUGUUCGAACUUCAUGACCCGCAAGGGCCGUGAUUUGUCGCAAGGGACGCUCAAUCCCUUGCAUAUGAUGGGUUUGCCUAACCGCACCCUCGAACCGAUCUCGAGAAGCUGGUCUUUUUGUGCCAAUGACAUCGAGCAAGAUCCCGCACAGGAUCUGGUUCAAGGCGACAAUCCCUUCGGGAUUGCGCUUAUGCGACGAUCCUUCGGAUCGCGCGUGAUGGGUAUUGGCAAUGAGAACGAUCAAGUGUCUUAAGGGCAAUUGGUGGAUGCCUUGGCAUGCACAGGCGAUGAAGGACG
Molecule: unclassified non-coding RNA, 636 nt
Filed under: Mesorhizobium sp. N3II
Lineage: Bacteria; Pseudomonadati; Pseudomonadota; Alphaproteobacteria; Hyphomicrobiales; Phyllobacteriaceae
Description: partial contains 16S ribosomal RNA, 16S-23S ribosomal RNA intergenic spacer, and 23S ribosomal RNA
Rfam family: tRNA (bases 1-62)
Source: RNAcentral